Molecule: RNA transcript, 1384 nt
Organism: Populus nigra (black poplar)
Lineage: Eukaryota; Viridiplantae; Streptophyta; Magnoliopsida; Malpighiales; Salicaceae
Gene name: serine/arginine-rich splicing factor SR30
Exons: 14
Source: RefSeq, a predicted model, not a curated record
CUAACACUUAAGGGUAACACAGGAAAACACCUUCUCAAAUUUAAAUCUCCUCUCUCCUUCGAGAAGAAUCUUUCGAACUCGAGAAAGCUCUCAAAAACCCCCUCUCCAGUCUUAAGUCCUGGCUGAAAGAGAAAAAAAAUGAGCCGAGCAAGUCGAACACUUUACGUCGGGAAUCUUCCUGGCGAUAUUCGCCUGAGGGAAGUUGAAGAUUUGUUUUAUAAGUAUGGGCCCAUUGUCGACAUUGAUUUGAAAAUCCCGCCAAGGCCUCCAGGCUAUGCUUUUGUUGAGUUUGAAGAAGCUCGUGAUGCUGAAGAUGCAAUUCGUGGCCGGGAUGGAUAUAAUUUUGAUGGGUGUAGAUUACGGGUUGAGCUUGCCCAUGGUGGGCGAAGACAUUCAUCACCAGUGGAUCAUUAUAGCAGUUACAGUGGUAGCAGUGGUAGCCGUGGGCCUUCCAAGCGCUCUGACUAUCGUGUGUUAGUGACUGGAUUGCCUUCUUCUGCUUCAUGGCAAGACCUAAAGGAUCAUAUGCGUCGAGCUGGUGAUGUCUGCUUUUCUCAAGUCUUUCGUGAUCGUGGUGGCAUGACAGGAAUUGUGGACUACACAAACUAUGAUGACAUGAAAUAUGCUAUCAAGAAGCUUGAUGACUCUGAGUUCCGGAAUGCAUUUUCAAGGGCAUAUAUUCGGGUGAGGGAGUAUGAUUCUAGACGGAGUUACUCUAGGAGCCCCAGUCGCAGUUCAUAUGUGUCAAGAAGCCGGAGUCGAAGUCGCAGUGGAGGCUAUAGUGACAGGAGCUGGAGCAAGUCUCCCAGGGCAAAACAUUCACGACGUUCUCGAUCUGUAUCUGUUUCUUCUCGCUCUCGUGCAGGAUCAUCUCCACGAUCUUUUUCAAGCGACCUGACCACCUGGGGGAUUGGAUGUUAAGGACUUGAUGGGAUGUGGUGGUCAUAUGCUUGCACCUCUUUGCUUGUUUUGAGGUAAUGCUGUUUUUGUUGAUGAGCACCUCUGGAAAAUCCUCAUAAUCUCGUAAUGCUAUUAAGUUGGUUCCUAAUAAUCUCACAAUGCUAUUAAGUUGGUGUGUCAAUUAGCAUUAGAAUUGAUGAAGCUUGGAUGGGAUUAUGAUUUUAAAGCUGGAUUACUGUGAAGUAAGCACUAUUGGUGCCACCCGUCCAUCAGUGGUACAAAGAAGCUUGAAACUGCUUCGACAUUACCCUUAACCUGUGUUUGGUAUUCUCCUUGGAUUUGGUGAUACCGACAAGGAGGAUGUAGCUCUUCUUUCUUCUGGUCCCUUUCAAGAUCAAGAUCUCCUCUUGCUUCUCCUCCUCGCAGAAAACAUGGCCACAGAACCCCAAGCAUAAGCCCUGGUCGUGUAUCCCGUUCGCCUUCU